CAUUUUAGUAUGCUCUUUCUAGCUGUGGUGAUUUAUUUGCAUCUCCUUGCCUAGUUUUAAAAUUAGUCUAUAAUGGGAAUUGUGUAUUCGAGAGCGGUUUGGGGCUUUGAGAUUGUUUGAAUGUUCAUUUAUUCAAAUUUGGCUAAAUCUAUGCUCUUUUAAUAAUAACUCUAGUAUGUGCCGAUUACAUGAAGCAUUUUCAAGCCUGGGGAUAAACUCGUUUACUGUUGACAGCGUUGGAAUUUGUUCAGUAAAGUAGCCCUCGGCCUGGGGUGCUCGAAACAGGUUUGAAAUUUAAUUUUAACCUCGUUUUUGAACUCAG
Non-coding RNA from Paramuricea clavata, 322 nucleotides. NCBI's taxonomy places the organism in Eukaryota, Metazoa, Cnidaria, Anthozoa, Malacalcyonacea, Plexauridae. The record is from the annotation of a GenBank genome assembly.